UAAGGAAUAUUGCGCAAUGGGCGAAAGCCUGACGCAGCGACGCCGCGUGGGGGAUGAAGGUCUUCGGAUUGUAAACCCCUUUCGGGAGGGAAGAUGGAAUGGGGUAACCCAUUCGGACGGUACCUCCAGAAGCAGCCACGGCUAACUUCGUGCCAGCAGCCGCGGUAAUACGAAGGUGGCAAGCGUUAUUCGGAUUUACUGGGCGUACAGGGAGCGUAGGCGGUUCGGUAAGCCCUCUGUGAAAUCUUCAGGCUUAACCUGGAAAAGUCGGAGGGGACUGCUGGGCUAGAGGACGGGAGAGGAGCGCGGAAUUCCCGGUGUAGCGGUGAAAUGCGUAGAGAUCGGGAGGAAGGCCGGUGGCGAAGGCGGCGCUCUGGAACGUUUCUGACGCUGAGGCUCGAAAGCGUGGGGAGCAAACAGGAUUAGAUACCCGCGUAGUCCCUGAGCGGGCUGGCAAGGCGCAU
RNAcentral lists this ribosomal RNA (464 nucleotides) under uncultured bacterium. RNAcentral describes it as "bacterial SSU rRNA". It matches the Rfam family "Bacterial small subunit ribosomal RNA", at positions 355 to 825 of the family's 1533-position model. The record is from RNAcentral.